RNAcentral lists this ribosomal RNA (253 nucleotides) under uncultured bacterium. RNAcentral's name for it is "partial 16S ribosomal RNA". It matches the Rfam family "Bacterial small subunit ribosomal RNA", at positions 524 to 776 of the family's 1533-position model. The record is from RNAcentral.
UACGAAGGGGGCUAGCGUUGUUCGGAAUUACUGGGCGUAAAGCGCGCGCAGGCGGCUAUCCAAGUCAGUGGUGAAAGCCCGGGGCUCAACCCCGGGUCGGCCGUGCGGACUGCCGGGCUGGAGCACUGUAGAGGCAGGUGGAAUUCCGGGUGUAGCGGUGGAAUGCGUAGAGAUCCGGAAGAACACCGGUGGCGAAGGCGGCCUGCUGGGCAGUGGCUGACGCUGAGGCGCGACAGCGUGGGGAGCAAACAGG